GACGAACGCUGGCGGCGUGCUUAACACAUGCAAGUCGAACGGUGAAGCGCCUUCCUUUUUGGUGGGUGUGGAUGAGUGGCGAACGGGUGAGUAACACGUGAGUAACCUGCCCCCUUCUUCUGGAUAACCGCAUGAAAGUGUGGCUAAUACGGGAUAUUCUGAGUCUGUCGCAUGAUGGGUCUGGGAAAGAUAUUGUUUCGGUGGGGGAUGGGCUCGCGGCCUAUCAGCUUGUUGGUGGGGUGAUGGCCUACCAAGGCGGUGACGGGUAGCCGGCCUGAGAGGGUGGACGGUCACACUGGGACUGAGACACGGCCCAGACUCCUACGGGAGGCAGCAGUGGGGAAUAUUGCACAAUGGGCGCAAGCCUGAUGCAGCGACCCCGCGUGAGGGAUGGAGGCCUUCGGGUUGUGAACCUCUUUCGCCAGUGAAGCAGGCCUGCCUCGUUUGUGGGUGGGUUGACGGUAGCUGGAUAAGAAGCGCCGGCUAACUACGUG
This 494-nucleotide ribosomal RNA is filed under the name uncultured bacterium. RNAcentral describes it as "partial 16S ribosomal RNA". It matches the Rfam family "Bacterial small subunit ribosomal RNA", at positions 28 to 507 of the family's 1533-position model. The record is from RNAcentral.